Molecule: long non-coding RNA, 1714 nt
Organism: Balaenoptera ricei (Rice's whale)
Lineage: Eukaryota; Metazoa; Chordata; Mammalia; Artiodactyla; Balaenopteridae
Exons: 4
Source: RefSeq, a predicted model, not a curated record
CCCGUGCCUCGACACUGCGGGGACACAAAGGGGCCAAAGGAGGGGAGCGGCGGAGGCCGUGCUGGCGGGCACCCGCCCGGAAGUUGACGCGGCGCGAUCCCAGCUGAGAGGAAGCUGAUAGGAUCAAGAAAACACAGGGAAGGUUCAGAAGUGGGGAGUGUGCUGCGGCACCUCUUCUAACGCUCGCUCGCUCGCUAUCACUCUUCCCUUAGUACUCACGGUCUUGCAGCCUCGGUGCACUGUAACAAAGGUUGAAAAGCGAAGGUAAUUCCUGGCGUGGAGCGACGGUAGCCGGGCCGGGACCUUCUAUAAACGGAACGGAGAAGCCUAAUGAGCGCGUAGUGAUGACGCAACACGCAGCCUAAGCUUUUCUCUUCCCCAGCGACGUGUGAGUGGAAAAUGUCUAGGCGCGCGCUGUUGUCAUGGUAACCAAUACCCGCCUCUUUGCCUUGGGAGCUUGCUUGCGGCCUGUUUCUUCAGGCCUUCAGACUUGGGUCUCAGACUGGAACCACACCCCCGGCUUUCCUGGACUUCCAGCUUGCAGAGGGACUUCUCAGCCUCCAAAAUCGACUAUCUGGUCACGGAAGGAUGAAGAGAGCCCACAGCGCCUCCUCUGAGCUCCUCACGGCAAUCCACGUUGGUUAUGCUAUUCUCUGCUUGCUGAUAUUCUGGCACGAGAAGUCUGCUAUUGCCCACUUGAAGCAGCCAUUGAGUAUGGAAGUGUCAAGAGAAACCCUGCGAUUUUCCACGUGUGCCUGUGGCUUCCCUCCACUUCAGCACGCUGGGUGAGGUGCAGCAGCAGACCCGGGUCUUGUCUUUUAAGAACUAGGUUGUUAGGUGUGCAUCAAACUUGGUAGCCACAGCACUUUUUCAACAAGGCAAUUCACUGUGCAAACGCUAAACUUUAAAUUAGUUUGUAUUAUUAAUUUUUCACUUGUAGACCAUCAGAAGAUUUGGGGGAGAAAGGAUGGAAUAAAAGGAGGGAAUUAUGGACAUAGAAUUAACCAGACCACGUGUUUUGUGUCGAACUAAACAAUUAUUCAUCUUAACUCAAUCUUGGUCAAAGAGCCACUGUUUUCUUUCCGUAAUUUAACCGCCCAUUUAAAGUAAGACCUUGUUGGGACUUCGCCAGUGGUCCCGCCGUUAAGACUCCGUGCUCCCUGUGCAGGGGGCCCGGAUUCGAUCCCUGGUCAGGGAACUAGAUCCCACAUGCAUGCUGCAACUAAGACCCAGCGCAGCCAUAUAGAUAAAUAUUUUAAAUAAAUAAGACCUUGUUGGGGACUUCCCUGGUGGCGCAGUGGUUAAGAAUCCACCUGCCAAUGCAGGGGACACGGGUUCGAGCCCUGGUCCGGAAGAUCCCACAUGUCACAGAGCAACUAAGCCCAUGCACCACAACUACUGAGCUCACGCGCUUAGAGCCCGUGCGCCACAACAGGAGAAGUCACCGCAGUGAGAAGCCUGCGCACCUCAAUGAAGAGAAGCCUUCGCUCACCACAGCUAGAGAAAGCUGGCGUGCAGCAACAAAGACCCAAUGCAGCCAAAAAUAAAUAAAUAAAUAAAAAGACCUUGUUGAUUCAAAAUCCACUAAUUAAGAAAGGUUAUGUUAGGUGGUAACAAUAUAAAUAAUGUUAAAGAAUGAAUAUUAAGCUACUUGUGAAAAUAAAAUAUUUUAACACCUCUUCAAGAAGUUAAUAGGUCUUUAUAGCAUACAAAA